AUUGAACGCUGGCGGCAGGCCUAACACAUGCAAGUCGAGCGGAGCGGCGGACGGGUGAGUAAUGCCUAGGAAUCUGCCUGGUAGUGGGGGAUAACGUCCGGAAACGGGCGCUAAUACCGCAUACUAUCAGAUGAGCCUAGGUCGGAUUAGCUAGUUGGUGGGGUAAAGGCCUACCAGGGCGACGAUCCGUAACUGGUUUGAGAGGAUGAUCAGUCACGUUGGAACUGAGACACGGUCCAGACUCCUACUGUAGGCAGCAGUGGGGAAUAGUGGACAAUGGGCGAAAGCCUGAGCCAGCCAUGCCGCUUAUGUGAAGAAGGUCUUCGGAUUGUAAAGCACUUUAAGUUGUGAGGCGUUGCCAACAGGAUAAGCACCGGAUAACUUCGUGCCAGCAGCCGCAGUAAUAC
This 407-nucleotide ribosomal RNA is filed under the name uncultured bacterium. RNAcentral describes it as "partial 16S ribosomal RNA". It matches the Rfam family "Bacterial small subunit ribosomal RNA", at positions 30 to 526 of the family's 1533-position model. The record is from RNAcentral.